UGGGGAAUAUUGCACAAUGGGGGAAACCCUGAUGCAGCGACGCCGCGUGAGCGAAGAAGGCUUUCGAGUCGUAAAGCUCUGUCCUAUGAGAAGAUAAUGACGGUAUCAUAGGAGGAAGCCCUGGCUAAAUACGUGCCAGCAGCCGCGGUAAUACGUAUGGGGCGAGCGUUGUCCGGAAUUAUUGGGCGUAAAGGGUACGUAGGCGGUUUUUUAAGUCAGGUGUCAAAGCGUGGAGCUUAACUCCAUUAAGCACUUGAAACUGAAAGACUUGAGUGAAGGAGAGGAAAGUGGAAUUCCUAGUGUAGCGGUGAAAUGCGUAGAUAUUAGGAGGAAUACCGGUGGCGAAGGCGACUUUCUGGCCUGCAACUGACACUGAGGCGCGAAAGCGUGGGGAGCAAACAGG
This 403-nucleotide ribosomal RNA is filed under the name Verrucomicrobiota bacterium. RNAcentral's name for it is "Verrucomicrobia bacterium partial 16S ribosomal RNA". It matches the Rfam family "Bacterial small subunit ribosomal RNA", at positions 355 to 776 of the family's 1533-position model. The record is from RNAcentral. Lineage: Bacteria; Pseudomonadati; Verrucomicrobiota.